UGCGUCUGACAAGGAAAGGAA
This 21-nucleotide non-coding RNA is filed under the name Caenorhabditis elegans. Lineage: Eukaryota; Metazoa; Nematoda; Chromadorea; Rhabditida; Rhabditidae. The record is from RNAcentral.